CCUACGGGGGGCUGCAGUGGGGAAUUUUCCGCAAUGGGCGAAAGCCUGACGGAGCAAUACCGCGUGAGGGAGGAAGGCUUUUGGGUUGUAAACCUCUUUUAUUAAGGAAGAAGAAAGUGACGGUACUUAAAGAAUAAGCAUCGGCUAACUCCGUGCCAGCAGCCGCGGUAAUACGGAGGAUGCAAGCGUUAUCCGGAAUUAUUGGGCGUAAAGCGUCCGCAGGUGGCUAAUCAAGUCUGCUGUUAAAAACAGAAGCUUAACUUCUGAUCGGCGGU
This 275-nucleotide ribosomal RNA is filed under the name uncultured bacterium. RNAcentral describes it as "partial 16S ribosomal RNA". It matches the Rfam family "Bacterial small subunit ribosomal RNA", at positions 338 to 627 of the family's 1533-position model. The record is from RNAcentral.